UACGUAGGCAGCAAGCGUUGUUCGGAGUUACUGGGCGUAAAGGGUGUGUAGGCGGUUGGAUAAGUGUGGUGUGAAAUCUCCCGGCUCAACUGGGGAGGGUCACUCGAUACUGAUCGACUCGAAGGCAGGAGAGGGAAGUGGAAUUCCCGGUGUAGUGGUGAAAUGCGUAGAUAUCGGGAGGAACACCAGUGGCGAAGGCGACUUCCUGGCCUGUUCUUGACGCUGAGGCGCGAAAGCUAGGGGAGCAAACGGG
Molecule: ribosomal RNA, 253 nt
Filed under: uncultured bacterium
Lineage: Bacteria
Description: partial 16S ribosomal RNA
Rfam family: Bacterial small subunit ribosomal RNA
Source: RNAcentral